This 484-nucleotide ribosomal RNA is filed under the name uncultured bacterium. RNAcentral's name for it is "bacterial SSU rRNA". It matches the Rfam family "Bacterial small subunit ribosomal RNA", at positions 30 to 507 of the family's 1533-position model. The record is from RNAcentral.
AUUGAACGCUGGCGGCAGGCCUAACACAUGCAAGUCGAGCGGUAAAGAGAAGCUUGCUUCUCUUGAGAGCGGCGGACGGGUGAGUAAUGCCUAGGAAUCUGCCUGGUAGUGGGGGAUAACGCUCGGAAACGGACGCUAAUACCGCAUACGUCCUACGGGAGAAAGCAGGGGACCUUCGGGCCUUGCGCUAUCAAAUGAGCCUAGGUCGGAUUACCUAGUUGGUGAGGUAAUGGCUCACCAAGGCGACAAUCCGUAACUGGUCUGAGAGGAUGAUCAGUCACACUGGAACUGAGACACGGUCCAAACUCCUACGGGAGGCAGCAGUGGGGAAUAUUGGACAAUGGGCGAAAGCCUGAUCCAGCCAUGCCGCGUGUGUGAAGAAGGUCUUCGGAUUGUAAAGCACUUUAAGUUGGGAGGAAGGGCAGUUACCUAAUACGUAUCUGUUUUGACGUUACCGACAGAAUAAGCACCGGCUAACUCUGUG